CGACCCUGGAGCCCCCCGGGCUCCGCGUUGGGGCGUCCCACGGCCGCCGUGGACCCCUAAUAUCAGUGGCGGCGCUGCCGCGCUCCCUGGGUGUAGUACAUCAUCUCGCCCGGAAGGAGACGGCGGUGUCAUGCCGUUAAACCUCAGGCGCCGAAAGGCGCUCUGAAUCUUAA
RNAcentral lists this unclassified non-coding RNA (173 nucleotides) under uncultured Sordariomycetes. RNAcentral's name for it is "sequence contains ITS2". Lineage: Eukaryota; Fungi; Ascomycota; Sordariomycetes. The record is from RNAcentral.